Long non-coding RNA from Nematostella vectensis (starlet sea anemone), 412 nucleotides. RefSeq lists it as uncharacterized. The transcript has 2 exons. The record is from RefSeq and is a predicted model, not a curated record. NCBI's taxonomy places the organism in Eukaryota, Metazoa, Cnidaria, Anthozoa, Actiniaria, Edwardsiidae.
UUUAGAAAAACGAAUGCCACUGAUUGAUGAUAUGAUUGUGAUCAUAUGGAUCUUUAUUUAUACAGUCACAAUAUAACCUUUAGUUAUCCCUUCCAUGUUUUAAAUGGGAUUGAACCAAAGGACGUCCUUUUAAUUUACGUCAGAAUUUCUAUAUAUAUGUAUAAAAAAACACUUUUGUUCCCGUAUUUAAUUACAAGGUAAAACGGUGCUUUUUAUGGUGUUCCGGAUAUGGACCGGUCCGGUCACAAGAGUGUCCGAAUGCUGGAGGAUUCACAUGUGAGUUGCUUGGACGUUUGUCCUGCUUGGGACGGUGAUUUGUCAUCGAAGAUGCAAAUGGCUUGACACCCGGUCACAAGACAUGUAUUAUUUAUUGGAGUCAGUUGGCUGUAAAUAUAUCAAUCAGUUACCUGUU